AGGAUGCGAGCGUUAUCCGGAUUUAUUGGGGUUAAAGCGCGUCUAGGUGGUGUGGUAAGUCUGAUGUGGAAAUGCUGGGCUCAACUCCGUAUUGCGUUGGAAACUGCCAAACUAGAGUACUGGAGAGGUGGGCGGAACUACAAGUGUAGAGGUGAAAUUCGUAGAUAUUUGUAGGAAUGCCGAUAGAGAAGUCAGCUCACUGGACAGAUACUGACACUGAAGCGCGAAAGCAUGGGGAGCAAA
This 243-nucleotide ribosomal RNA is filed under the name uncultured bacterium. RNAcentral describes it as "partial 16S ribosomal RNA". It matches the Rfam family "Bacterial small subunit ribosomal RNA", at positions 529 to 772 of the family's 1533-position model. The record is from RNAcentral.